AUCUAAGGUGAUUCCCUCUCCAAGGGGCCUGCCAGUGCUCCUCAGAAGUGUAGCAACUCGGAAGAAAAUGUGGCAUACCUCGGCUGCCAACAUAG
Suncus etruscus (white-toothed pygmy shrew) is the source of this 95-nucleotide small nucleolar RNA. RefSeq annotates it as small nucleolar RNA SNORA67. The transcript has a single exon. The record is from RefSeq and is a predicted model, not a curated record. Lineage: Eukaryota; Metazoa; Chordata; Mammalia; Eulipotyphla; Soricidae.